AAUAAAUAAAUAAAUAAAUAAAUAGCUAGAUCAACCUUAUUUAACCUUUGCAAGUUGUUCUCAAUAUGACUUUUUAAAUAUCUUUUUGUCUAGUUUGUGUGUGAAAAAUGAUACCGGAUCAAUUUGGAGUUGGGGAGUAAGAAGGUGUGUAGGGUUGAAAAAUACAGAUUUCACCAUUUUGGAAAAUGAAAGUAAAGGAUACACUUAGAUAUCACCACUCCAAGGAUACAGCAACACCAUGUUGAAGGUAGAGUCUAUGAAUUCUUCCAACAUGAUGGCAACCAACCAAAGUGAAUUAGAAUUCAGGAUGAGCUAGCAUCUCUCAAUUGUUCACAAACUCAAAAUAUAUCUCCUAUAUCAAUUGCAUCAAUUCAUUUAUGCUUGGAACAUCCCUCCAAGUAUGAGAGACAAUAAUUCUAGUAGGACACGAUAAUUGUGUCUAGAUAAAAGAUAGAUUUGAUAAAAAUCAAAUCUGUCUUUUUUACAUGUUAUUGUUAUUGCGCUAACCUAACUUAAGCAUGGUGCACCAAUAUUAUUUGAUGAAAACAACACACUAGUUUGCUUGUGCUUGUGUCUUUGCUCGGUUGCACCCCAUAUUCCAGUGCAAGUUGAUGGGCACGUUGUUAUGCAGGGUAUGGCUGCCUUCGAUAGCCUCCAAUACAUAAUGGGCUUGGGAUUGGACUUCUACUGGAUGUGGAUUUACUUCAUUGGAUUGCCCUUCAAUUAACUCGAUUGGGCUGAGAAUUGGAUAUGGGCUGUCCACACUACCAUCUACAUCACAAAAUAUGUUUUGUUGGAUGAUCAAUGUUGUUAAAGAGUUGUGCCUCAGGAAAAAGUAGCAUAGGGCUCUAAGUCUCCAACCAUAACACCUCUACAGGUGAAAGGCAGGUGACCUUUAACAGGCACUUGCCUUAUGGCCCUAGACAACACCUAGUUCCAAGGGCAAUGCUCUAGAAAGGCACGCCUUCUUAAUUUCCACCACAUGCAAGAACUUCCAUUGGCAACAGUCUAUCAUAGUAUCAUUAGACUUAGAAUUUGUUGAUCUACUGGAAUCCGGUAUCAAUAUGCCAAAAAGUUGUUGGAAUUGUUGUCAUUAGCAAUGAAAAGUUGAUGGAAUCUCUUUGAACCACCACACUUGGGAUCGCUGAUUGCCUAUAUCUCCAUUUUUAACACUCACACUCCUUUGAUCCCUCUUCUCAUAUCUUGUUUUCAAUCUUCUCACAUUAUCUCUCUUAUAUUCACUUGAUAUUGGACUCUUCUGUUUCUAGGUUAUCUGAAAUUGCCUUUUUUUUUAUUUGAAACACCACUAACAGUACUAUUUGAAUCCUUCAUUUCAGGAUUUCCUGAAAAUGCGUUUAAAAAAAAAAAAUGCUAUUUCGGUCAUUUAUUUCUGGAUUAUUUGUAAUUUGUUUCAGGGCUAUCUAAAAUUACUUUUUGUUUUUCUUUCUCUCUUUUUUUUCCUCUUUACUAACAUCACCAAUGGGGCUAUUUGUCAAAGGAAACUGAUCCUUAAGUUGUCUACUUGUGUAGUAUCCUCAGCGCAAUUGAAAUGAAUAGGGUAGUUUCUGCAAUGUGCAAAAAAACUUAAUUCUUUUGCUUCCUCCUUUUUAUCUUUUUACAUUAGCCUGUCUGUCGGGGUGUGUUUGUUGGAAUCUUUUAUUUGUAUAUAUCUUUUAUGACUAAUAUAAUGCACAUCUAAGAAAGCUUUCUUUUUGAGUUCCUUCAGGCACGUUCAAGUUGACUUUACAGUUUACUGAGGAUUAUCCAAACAAACCACCAACAGUGCGAUUUGUAUCUCGAAUGUUCCAUCCAAAUAUUUACGCAGAUGGAAGUAUCUGUUUGGAUAUUUUACAAAAUCAGUGGAGUCCUAUAUAUGAUGUGGCUGCUAUACUUACAUCUAUACAGUCAUUGCUCUGUGACCCCAACCCCAAUUCUCCUGCAAAUUCAGAAGCAGCUCGGAUGUUUAGUGAAAACAAGCGUGAGUACAACCGAAGAGUUAGGGAAAUUGUGGAGCAGAGCUGGACGGCAGACUAAUCUUGAUGCUUUGGCGGGGCAGUCCAAGUGAGUGUGAAGUUUGGAGGCAUGGCAUGUGACAAGUAUCAUGUCCUUUAAAAAUGUUCUUGUGAUAUUAUCGACUUUUAUCCUGUACCCUUGGCUUCCCUCCCAAUUAUUGAAUGUUAGGGUUAUUUUGUCUCUGCUUUAAUCUGACUUCCUCAUUGCGUGUCUUUAGGCUUCAUGUAAAAUGGAAAUUUGUGUAUCAAUUUGCAUUGGAUUGAAUCUUGGUGCUUCAAUAUAAAAAUUUGUAGACUGAUUUGAUUGCAACUGGUGGAAGAUCGCAUUAAUUAUCUUGUAGAACGAGAGAAAUGAUGUUUGGCAAGCAAUUGACUUUUUGGCAUUUGUGGACUGCAUUAAUGAGUCCAUUUCAUGAUAAAUUUGAAAACUUCUGGUUUGGCUGAAAUUAAAAUUCAGGUAUAUAUAUUUUUAGUUCAGUGAUUCACUUAGUUAAUGGAGAGUUCUUGUUG
RNAcentral lists this unclassified non-coding RNA (2522 nucleotides) under Hevea brasiliensis (rubber tree). Lineage: Eukaryota; Viridiplantae; Streptophyta; Magnoliopsida; Malpighiales; Euphorbiaceae. The record is from RNAcentral.